Molecule: ribosomal RNA, 465 nt
Filed under: Vreelandella stevensii
Lineage: Bacteria; Pseudomonadati; Pseudomonadota; Gammaproteobacteria; Oceanospirillales; Halomonadaceae
Description: partial 16S ribosomal RNA
Rfam family: Bacterial small subunit ribosomal RNA
Source: RNAcentral
CCUACGGGGGGCAGCAGUGGGGAAUAUUGGACAAUGGGCGAAAGCCUGAUCCAGCCAUGCCGCGUGUGUGAAGAAGGCCUUCGGGUUGUAAAGCACUUUCAGUGGGGAAGAAAGCCUUGGGGCUAAUACCCUCGAGGAAGGACAUCACCCACAGAAGAAGCACCGGCUAACUCCGUGCCAGCAGCCGCGGUAAUACGGAGGGUGCGAGCGUUAAUCGGAAUUACUGGGCGUAAAGCGCGCGUAGGCGGUCUGAUAAGCCGGUUGUGAAAGCCCCGGGCUCAACCUGGGAACGGCAUCCGGAACUGUCAGGCUAGAGUGCAGGAGAGGAAGGUAGAAUUCCCGGUGUAGCGGUGAAAUGCGUAGAGAUCGGGAGGAAUACCAGUGGUGAAGGCGGCCUUCUGGACUGACACUGACGCUGAGGUGCGAAAGCGUGGGUAGCAAACAGGAUUAGAUACCCGAGUAGUC